GUCCCCGUGGAGCAACGCAUCUCGCUCCCACGAAAUGAGCUUCACGAUUUGUGCCUACGCAGGGAGAGGCGGUGGUUCGAGUCCACCCGGGGACA
Mycena albidolilacea is the source of this 95-nucleotide non-coding RNA. NCBI's taxonomy places the organism in Eukaryota, Fungi, Basidiomycota, Agaricomycetes, Agaricales, Mycenaceae. The record is from the annotation of a GenBank genome assembly.